GUCUUGGGAUCCUGCAGGGGGAGGGGGCUGUGAAUGUGCGGGUUGUGUGUAGACGUGGUGUGGAUAGCUGUGUGGGUGUGUGUGCAAGUGUAGCCAUGGUGUGGGUAGCCGUGUGGGUAUAUGCAUAGGGUAUGAGUGCUGGGUGUAGACGUGGCAUAGGUGUGUGUGCAGGUCUGUUGGGUGUAGACAUGGUAGUGCGGGUAGCUGUGUGGGUGUAUGUGCAAGUGUAGACAUGGCGUGGGGGAGUGUAGGUGUUGGGCCUCUGGUAGUGUGGGUGUGUGCAGGUGUGGGGUGGUGUGGGUGCAGACGUCUGGGGGGUUGUGUGCGGGUGUUGGGUAUCCAUGUGGUGUGGGGGUGUGUAGACGUGUAUACAGGUGUGAGUGCAGGUGUAGACGGCGUAUGUGCAGGUGUUGCGUGUCUGGUGUGGGUAGUUGGGGUGCGUGCAGGUAUGUGUGUUGUGUGUAGACGUGUGGGUAGCUGUGGGGGUGUGCAGGUGUGUGUACUGGGUAUAGACGUGGCAUGGGUUGCUGGGUGUGUGCAGGUGUUGGGUGUUUGCAGGUAAGUGUUGGGGGCGGGCGUGGUGGUGUUUGCAGGUGAGGGGUGUAGGCGUGUGUGCAGGUGAGUGUUGGGUGUGGGCGUGGUGGUGUGUGCAGGUGAGUGUUGGGCGCGGGCGCGGUGGUUUGUGCAGGUGAGUGUUGGGUGCGGGCAUGGUGGUUGCAGGUGAGUGUUGGGUGUAGGCGUGGUGGUGUGUGCAGGUGAGUGUUGGGCGUAGGCGUGGUGGUUGCAGGUGAGUGUUGGGCAUGGGCGCGGUGUGUGCAGGUGAGUGUUGGGCGCGGGCGUGGUGGUGUGUGCAGGUGAGUGUUGG
RNAcentral lists this long non-coding RNA (865 nucleotides) under Homo sapiens (human). RNAcentral's name for it is "non-protein coding lnc-CYP2W1-2:1". The record is from RNAcentral. Lineage: Eukaryota; Metazoa; Chordata; Mammalia; Primates; Hominidae.